This 222-nucleotide ribosomal RNA is filed under the name uncultured bacterium. Its description in RNAcentral is "partial 16S ribosomal RNA". It matches the Rfam family "Bacterial small subunit ribosomal RNA", at positions 109 to 334 of the family's 1533-position model. The record is from RNAcentral.
AGUAAUGCUUGGGAAUCUAGCUUAUGGGAGGGGGUAACUACGGGAAACUGUAGCUAAUACCGCGUAGUAUCGAGAGAUGAAAGUGUGGGACCUUCGGGCCACAUGCCAUAGGAUGAGCCCAAGUGGGAUUAGGUAGUUGGUGAGGUAAAGGCUCACCAAGCCGACGAUCUCUAGCUGGUCUGAGAGGAUGACCAGCCACACUGGGACUGAGACACGGCCCAG